UACGGGAGGCAGCAGUGAGGAAUCUUGCGCAAUGGAGGAAACUCUGACGCAGCCACGCCGCGUGCCGGAAGACGGCCCUAUGGGUUGUAAACGGCUUUUGAAUGGGAAGAACGUACGAGAUUCGUCUUGUAGUGACGGUACCAUUUGAAUAAGCACCGGCUAACUCCGUGCCAGCAGCCGCGGUAAUACGGAGGGUGCAAGCGUUGUCCGGAAUCAUUGGGUGUAAAGGGUGCGUAGGUGGGAGCCUAAGUCUGUGGUGAAAUCUUGCCGCUUAACGGUAAAAUUGCCAUGGAUACUGGGUUUCUUGAGUACAGAAGAGGUCGGUGGAAUUCGUAGUGUAGCGGUGAAAUGCAUAGAUAUUACGAAGAACAUCAGUGGCGAAGGCGGCCGGCUGGACUGUAACUGACACUGAGGCACGAAAGCGUGGGGAGCGAACAGGAUUAGAUACCCUGGUAGUCCACGCUGUAAACGAUGCAUACUAGUUGUUGGCCCUUUGGGGCCAGUGAUGCAGUUAACGCAGUAAGUAUGCCACCUGGGGAGUACGUCGGCAACGAUGAAACUCAAAGGAAUUGACGGGGGCCCGCACAAGCGGUGGAGCAUGUGGCUUAAUUCGAUGCAACGCGAGGAACCUUACCUGGGCUAAAUCUACAGUGUUACCUCCCGAAAAGGAGGGUCCCUUCGGGGCACUAUGGAAGGUGCUGCAUGGCUGUCGUCAGCUCGUGCCGUGAGGUGUUGGGUUAAGUCCCGCAACGAGCGCAACCCCUGUGGUUAGUUACCAGCACGUAAUGGUGGGGACUCUAGCCAGACUGCCUACGCAAGUAGUGAGGAAGGUGGGGACGACGUCAAGUCAUCAUGGCCCUUACGUCCAGGGCUGCACACGUGCUACAAUGGAUGGUACAAUGGGUAGCCACUGCGCGAGCAGGAGCAAAUCCACAAAGCCAUUCUCAGUUCGGAUUGGAGUCUGCAACUCGACUCCAUGAAGGUGGAAUCGCUAGUAAUCGCGUAUCAGCAAUGACGCGGUGAAUACGUUCCCGGGCCUUGUACACACCGCCCGUCAAGCGAUGGAAGUUAGGAGUACCUGAUGUCGCCUCAACAAGAGGUGCCUAGGGUAAGCCUAGUAACUGGCGCUAAGUCGUAACAAGGUAGCCGUACCGGAAGGUGCGGCUGGAUCACCUCCUUUC
RNAcentral lists this ribosomal RNA (1181 nucleotides) under Balneola sp. Its description in RNAcentral is "bacterial SSU rRNA". It matches the Rfam family "Bacterial small subunit ribosomal RNA", at positions 340 to 1533 of the family's 1533-position model. Lineage: Bacteria; Pseudomonadati; Balneolota; Balneolia; Balneolales; Balneolaceae. The record is from RNAcentral.